UGUUAACAUGUCAACGGAGUUCAGAUCAUCAAAAUAAGCAGAUAUAUAUUCUGCAAGGCAUUCAAUAGUCACUAAUCAUCGGAAGCUCGUGGUUUCCUUUUCUUUCUCUUGACCUUCUCCGAAAAACGUCUUUUUGGGUCUAAAAGUAUUUCAAGUUGCAUCUUUGCCCAAAGAUCUUCAAAAUGCUCAUGAAAUCCUUCCUGAAACCAAUCCAAAAUUUCUGGAAACAAUUCUUGAGGAUUAUCAUCCCACAACUUCCUUAGCUUGAUA
This 270-nucleotide unclassified non-coding RNA is filed under the name Hevea brasiliensis (rubber tree). Lineage: Eukaryota; Viridiplantae; Streptophyta; Magnoliopsida; Malpighiales; Euphorbiaceae. The record is from RNAcentral.